UACGAAGGGUGCAAGCGUUGUUCGGAAUCAUUGGGCGUAAAGCGCGCGCAGGCGGAUCAGCAAGUCAGAUGUGAAAUCUCGAAGCUCAACUUCGAAACUGCGUCUGAAACUGCUAGUCUAGAGUGUCGGAGGGGGCAGGGGAAUUUCACGUGUAGGGGUAAAAUCCGUAGAGAUGUGAAGGAACACCGGGGGCGAAGGCGCCUGCCUGGACGACUACUGACGCUGAGGUGCGAAAGCGUGGGGAGCAAACAGG
Molecule: ribosomal RNA, 253 nt
Filed under: uncultured bacterium
Lineage: Bacteria
Description: partial 16S ribosomal RNA
Rfam family: Bacterial small subunit ribosomal RNA
Source: RNAcentral